GUGUCAGCAGCCGCGGUAAGACGAAGGAUCCAAGCGUUAUCCGGAUUUAUUGGGUUUAAAGGGUGCGUAGGCGGAUUUAUAAGUCAGUGGUGAAAGCCUGUUGCUUAACAACAGAACUGCCAUUGAUACUGUUGAUCUUGAAUAUGUUUGAUGUGGGCGGAAUAUGACAUGUAGCGGUGAAAUGCUUAGAUAUGUCAUAGAACACCGAUUGCGAAGGCAGCUCACAAAGCCAUUAUUGACGCUGAGGCACGAAAGCGUGGGGAUCAAACAGGAUUAGAUACCCUGGUAGUCCACGCUGUAAACUUUGAUCACUCGCUGUUGGCGAUACACAGUCAGCGGCUAAGCGAAAGCGUUAAGUGAUCCACCUGGGGAGUACGGUCGCAAGAUUGAAACUUAAAUGAAUUGACGGGG
Molecule: ribosomal RNA, 411 nt
Filed under: uncultured prokaryote
Description: bacterial SSU rRNA
Rfam family: Bacterial small subunit ribosomal RNA
Source: RNAcentral